GAGAGAGAGGGAGGAAGAGAGUUAGAGAGGCAGAGACAGUGAGGGAGGCGGAGACAGUGAGGGAGGCAGAGACAGGGUGGGAGGCAGAGACAGAGAGGGAGGCAGAGAGAGAGGGAGGCAGAGACAGUGAGGGAGGCAGAGACAGUGAGGGAGGCAGAGUCAGCGAGGGAGGCAGAGACAGUGAGGGAGGCAGAGACAGAGAGGGAGGCAGAGAGAGAGAGCGAGGCAGAGAGAGAGAGCGAGGCAGAGAGAGAGAGAGAGAGGGAGGCAGAGACAGAGAGGGAGGCAGAGAGAGAGGGAGGCAGAGACAGUGAGGGAGGCAGAGACAGUGAGGGAGGCAGAGACAGAGAGGGAGGCAGAGACAGAGAGGGAGGCAGAGAGAGAGAGGGAGGCAGAGACAGUGAGGGAUGCAGAGACAGAGAGGGAGGCAGAGAGAGAGGGAGGCAGAGACAGUGAGGGAGGCAGAGACAGUGAGGGAGGCAGAGACAGAGAGGGAGGCAGAGAGAGAGGGAGGCAGAGACAGUGAGGGAGGCAGAGACAGUGAGGGAGGCAGAGACAGAGAGGGAGGCAGAGACAGAG
Long non-coding RNA from Oncorhynchus tshawytscha (Chinook salmon), 579 nucleotides. The record is from Ensembl. NCBI's taxonomy places the organism in Eukaryota, Metazoa, Chordata, Actinopteri, Salmoniformes, Salmonidae.